CAUAGGUUAAUGAGGCGAACCGGGGGAACUGAAACAUCUAAGUACCCCGAGGAAAAGAAAUCAACCGAGAUUCCCCCAGUAGCGGCGAGCGAACGGGGAGCAGCCCAGAGCCUGAAUCAGUGUGUGUGUUAGUGGAAGCGUCUGGAAAGGCGCGCGAUACAGGGUGACAGCCCCGUACACAAAAAUGCACAUGCUGUGAGCUCGAUGAGUAGGGCGGGACACGUGGUAUCCUGUCUGAAUAUGGGGGGACCAUCCUCCAAGGCUAAAUACUCCUGACUGACCGAUAGUGAACCAGUACCGUGAGGGAAAGGCGAAAAGAACCCCGGCGAGGGGAGUGAAAAAGAACCUGAAACCGUGUACGUACAAGCAGUGGGAGCACGCUUAGGCGUGUGACUGCGUACCUUUUGUAUAAUGGGUCAGCGACUUAUAUUCUGUAGCAAGGUUAACCGAAUAGGGGAGCCGAAGGGAAACCGAGUCUUAACUGGGCGUUAAGUUGCAGGGUAUAGACCCGAAACCCGGUGAUCUAGCCAUGGGCAGGUUGAAGGUUGGGUAACACUAACUGGAGGACCGAACCGACUAAUGUUGAAAAAUUAGCGGAUGACUUGUGGCUGGGGGUGAAAGGCCAAUCAAACCGGGAGAUAGCUGGUUCUCCCCGAAAGCUAUUUAGGUAGCGCCUCGUGAAUUCAUCUCCGGGGGUAGAGCACUGUUUCGGCAAGGGGGUCAUCCCGACUUACCAACCCGAUGCAAACUGCGAAUACCGGAGAAUGUUAUCACGGGAGACACACGGCGGGUGCUAACGUCCGUCGUGAAGAGGGAAACAACCCAGACCGCCAGCUAAGGUCCCAAAGUCAUGGUUAAGUGGGAAACGAUGUGGGAAGGCCCAGACAGCCAGGAUGUUGGCUUAGAAGCAGCCAUCAUUUAAAGAAAGCGUAAUAGCUCACUGGUCGAGUCGGCCUGCGCGGAAGAUGUAACGGGGCUAAACCAUGCACCGAAGCUGCGGCAGCGACGCUUAUGCGUUGUUGGGUAGGGGAGCGUUCUGUAAGCCUGUGAAGGUGUGCUGUGAGGCAUGCUGGAGGUAUCAGAAGUGCGAAUGCUGACAUAAGUAACGAUAAAGCGGGUGAAAAGCCCGCUCGCCGGAAGACCAAGGGUUCCUGUCCAACGUUAAUCGGGGCAGGGUGAGUCGACCCCUAAGGCGAGGCCGAAAGGCGUAGUCGAUGGGAAACAGGUUAAUAUUCCUGUACUUGGUGUUACUGCGAAGGGGGGACGGAGAAGGCUAUGUUGGCCGGGCGACGGUUGUCCCGGUUUAAGCGUGUAGGCUGGUUUUCCAGGCAAAUCCGGAAAAUCAAGGCUGAGGCGUGAUGACGAGGCACUACGGUGCUGAAGCAACAAAUGCCCUGCUUCCAGGAAAAGCCUCUAAGCAUCAGGUAACAUCAAAUCGUACCCCAAACCGACACAGGUGGUCAGGUAGAGAAUACCAAGGCGCUUGAGAGAACUCGGGUGAAGGAACUAGGCAAAAUGGUGCCGUAACUUCGGGAGAAGGCACGCUGAUAUGUAGGUGAAGUCCCUCGCGGAUGGAGCUGAAAUCAGUCGAAGAUACCAGCUGGCUGCAACUGUUUAUUAAAAACACAGCACUGUGCAAACACGAAAGUGGACGUAUACGGUGUGACGCCUGCCCGGUGCCGGAAGGUUAAUUGAUGGGGUCAGCGCAAGCGAAGCUCUUGAUCGAAGCCCCGGUAAACGGCGGCCGUAACUAUAACGGUCCUAAGGUAGCGAAAUUCCUUGUCGGGUAAGUUCCGACCUGCACGAAUGGCGUAAUGAUGGCCAGGCUGUCUCCACCCGAGACUCAGUGAAAUUGAACUCGCUGUGAAGAUGCAGUGUACCCGCGGCAAGACGGAAAGACCCCGUGAACCUUUACUAUAGCUUGACACUGAACAUUGAGCCUUGAUG
RNAcentral lists this ribosomal RNA (1947 nucleotides) under Escherichia coli. RNAcentral's name for it is "bacterial LSU rRNA". It matches the Rfam family "Bacterial large subunit ribosomal RNA", at positions 165 to 2136 of the family's 2925-position model. Lineage: Bacteria; Pseudomonadati; Pseudomonadota; Gammaproteobacteria; Enterobacterales; Enterobacteriaceae. The record is from RNAcentral. RNAcentral also lists the same sequence under 1 other name.